CCUCGAUGUCGGCUCAUCACAUCCUGGGGCUGAAGUAGGUCCCAAGGGUAUGGCUGUUCGCCAUUUAAAGUGGUACUCGAGCUGGGUUUAGAACGUCGUGAGACAGUUCGGUCCCUAUCGGCCGUGGGCGCUGGAGAACUGAGGGGGGCUGCUCCUAGUACGAGAGGACCGGAGUGGACGCAUCACUGGUGUUCGGGUUGUCAUGCCAAUGGCACUGCCCGGUAGCUAAAUGCGGAAGAGAUAAGUGCUGAAAGCAUCUAAGCACGAAACUUGCCCCGAGAUGAGUUCUCCCUGACUCCUUGAGAGUCCUGAAGGAACGUUGAAGACGACGACGUUGAUAGGCCGGGUGUGUAAGCGCAGCGAUGCGUUGAGCUAACCGGUACUAAUGAACCGUGAGGCUUAACCUUACAACGCCGAAGGUGUUU
This 425-nucleotide ribosomal RNA is filed under the name Escherichia coli O145:H28 str. 2009C-3292. RNAcentral's name for it is "bacterial LSU rRNA". It matches the Rfam family "Bacterial large subunit ribosomal RNA", at positions 2524 to 2925 of the family's 2925-position model. The record is from RNAcentral. Lineage: Bacteria; Pseudomonadati; Pseudomonadota; Gammaproteobacteria; Enterobacterales; Enterobacteriaceae.